RNAcentral lists this long non-coding RNA (21047 nucleotides) under Vigna radiata. Its description in RNAcentral is "long non-coding RNA (VRAD_LNC009643)". The record is from RNAcentral. Lineage: Eukaryota; Viridiplantae; Streptophyta; Magnoliopsida; Fabales; Fabaceae.
AGGAUUGAUAUUUUAUUUAUUUUUAAUUUUAAUCUUGUUAUGAUUUGAAUUUUUGUCAAAAUAAUAAAAGUAAAAAUAAAAAAAUAUAAUUUUUAAUGCAUUAUAACCCGUGAAUCAAAUAAUAGUAACAAAAUACUAUCAACCGGUCACAUGAUGACUUACUCUCGUCCUCCAUUCUAAAUAAAAAAAAAAAAAAAAAGUUUUUGUCUCCAUCAAUCACGGUUUAUAUAUACAUGAAACUUUCCCUCAAUAAUUCUGCAACUUCCGUUUAAUAAAAUUAAAAUAAACUUUUAUGGCAAUCAUACCUACCGUCAUUCUUUCUUGAAUGCUUUUAUUCUGUUUUAAGAAGGGCAGAAUAACGAAAAGAAGGGGAGUUAUGAUUUUCAAACUAUUUAUUAUUGGAAAAACUUAUUUUAACAACACUUUUUUAACAACUUUUUUGACAACGCAUACGUGGCAGUUUGUGAUUAGUCUAUUUUAAAUAUUUUUUAAACAUAAAUUCAAAUAGACCAAUAAAAUGAUGACACGUGUCCCGUUGUAAAAAAAGUUGUUAAAAAGUGUUGUCAAGUAUCAUUGUCCUUUAUUAUUUUAUAAAAAGUUUCAUUGUCUCCCUCCCGUUGCGACAUAAACAAACACAAAGUUGAUGUUUUCGAUGAGUUUUGACAUACUAUACCAGAAAACUAGAAUUCAAAGUCAUUAUAUAAAAUUACAAUGACAUUUUUUCUAAAUAUACCUUUUAGAGAUAUGUGUAAUGUGAAAAGAGAACGCAAUUCUUCUGGUUUUAAAACUUAAAAAAAGGGUAUGUGGAUAUAUAUUAUAAAAAGAGACACGAUGUAAUGGUUUUAGAAAAAAAGAAUAGCAAAGAUAAUAUGUAAUUUUAAAAGAACAUAAUUUAAUUAGAAUAAAAUUUCAUAAUUAUUAGUGUAAUAUUUUGUUGUUAUGGUUGAAAGUGGGUGUUAGUUUAAUUCUUAAAUCGCGGAAUUAAAAAAGUUCUGUAAUGUCUUCACGCGACUGAAAAAAGAAAGGUUCUGCAUUAAUCUUUACGCGCAUUCUCUUCUUCUAACAGUUGAUGAACUCAUCCAUUUCUACCAUGGAAUUCACGUCUGCAUCAUCCAAACUCCAACGGAGGUACGAUGUGCUCAUCAACUUUACUGGAGACGACAUCUGCAAGAAAUUUGUUUCUCAUCUUGAUUCUGCCCUCUCCGCUGUUGGCUUCAACACUUUCCUUCACGAGGAGAACGCAGUGAAGGAAAUGCACAUCGAAGAAGCUGUUCUCGAUCUCUAUCAGGUAGCAAUUGUUGUCUUCACCAAAACCUUUGCUCAAUCUGCUUGGUGUCUUCAUCAACUUCAAGAAAUCAUUCGAUGGCACCAAACUUAUUCCCGACAUGUUCUGCCUAUAUAUUACGAAGUUGAGCCAUCUGAUGUACGUCUUCAAAAGGGUGAUUUUGGAAAAGCGUUCAAAGAAACUGCACACCAAACAUUCUCAGCACAACAACUGGAGCAUGGUAUGUUCCGGUGGAGCCAAGCACUCACAAAAGCAGCAAAUUUCUUUGGAUGGGAUGAGAGAAAUCACAGGUAAAUCACACACUCAAGCAUCUUUUAAAAUGUGAGAUUUAAUUUUUUUAACAGAUGACUUCUUCUAUAACUGUUAUUGAACUUGAAGGAGUGAUGCUGAACUAGUGGACAAAAUUUGUAAGAGCCUUCUUAAUUUACCAAUCUUGCCUGCUACUAAAUUUCCUGUUGGACUACGUUCCCGCGUGGAAAAUGUGAUUCGAAUUAUCAAAAGUAAAUCCACAGAAGUUUGUAUAAUAGAGAUAUGUGGACGCAAUCAAAUCCAAAAAGAUUUAUUCCUUGAUAUAUGCUGUUUCUUUGUUGGUAAGGGCAAAGCUUAUGCGACGAAAAUCCUAAAUGGCUGUGGGGUAGAUACUGAUAUUGGAAUAAGACUUCUUAUGGAGCGUAACCUAAUAAAAAUUAACAAGAACAACAAAUUAGGAAUGCACACUUUGCUACAAGAAAUGGGAACAACAAUUAUUCGUGAAAUUUCUGUAAAGGAACAUGGAAAGAACAGGCGUCUGUGGUUUGAUAAAGAAGAAAAACAUGUAAGAACAUUCUUUACAUGUGGUUUGAAACUUUUCUGAAAGUGUUUGCUUUCUCCUCCUGUGCAAUGAAUUUAUUUUUCUUUGCUCUUUUCAUCACAGGGGACAAAUGACAAUAAGUCGUUUCUUCCGAAACCGAAUGGAGUAAAACUGUCUGCUAAUUCUGAAUACCGUUCAGAGAAACUGAGAUGGAUGAUUUUGCAUGGGUUUCCGUCAGAAUACCUACAUUGCAAUUUUUAUGUGCAUGAUGCAAUAGCGAUUGAUUUAAAACACAGUCUUCUUCGACUCGUCUGGAAAAAACCCCAGGUUUUAAUUUCUUUCCAUUUUCUAUUAAAAGACAGAGCUUGACUAAAAUAAAAUAGUAACCUACUAUUGUUUUUUUUUUUCAUUUCUUAUCUAAUUUUUAUCAAAAAAAAAAAAAAAAAACUAUCUUGGUGUAGGUUUUAAGGUGGCUAAAAGUCCUUAAUCUUAGUCAUUCAAAGUAUUUAAGAAAAACUCCUGACUUUUCCGGACUACCAAGUCUUGAACAACUCAUUCUCAAAGAUUGUCCGAGAUUGCGCCAAGUACACCAAUCUAUCAUAUGUCUCUACAAUCUUUUACUGCUAAAUUUGAAGGACUGUACAAAUCUAAGCAAUCUCCCCACAGGAAUAUAUGAGUUGAAAUCUUUAAGAACUCUCAUUCUCUCUGGUUGUUCGAAGAUUGACUUAAUGGAAAAUGAUAUAGUGAAGAUGGAAUCCUUGAUAACUCUAAUUGCUGAGAACAAAGCUGUGAAAGAAGUGCCUUUUUCAAUUGUAAGCUCAAAAAGCAUUGGAUAUAUAUCCCUACAUGGACUUGAGAGAUUGCCACAAUCUUUUCUUUUCAAUCUUUCAGUCCUGGCUGAUGCCAACAAUGAAUGCCGUAUCUUAUAUUCAUUCGUUGUGCAUGAAAAUCAAUAAUUGUUGGGAUGAUAUUGCGCCAUUGCUUAGCAGCCUUUCAAUUCUUCGAAGUGUUUUGGUACAAUGUGACACCGAGUUUCAACUAUCUAAGCAAGUAAAAAAUAUUUUGGUCGAACAUUUUGCAAAUAUUACAGAAUCGGGAAUUUCAAACCAGCACUUGAGAUCUUCUUUUAUCGGUGUUGGAGCAUACCAUGAAUUCUUCAAAGCGGCCAACGAUAACAUAGUUGAGGUUCUUCUCUAGCUUUUACUUCGUUUAUCAUCUUCACCCUAAUUUUAGCUAUUCAUUGAGAGAACACAAAAAUACACCUAUUGAAGCAUCUAAUAGAAACUACAAUUCUAAACUUUUAGCACCAUACUCUCUUCUAUAGCCACACAACCUCGUUCAAAACUAUCUAGAGUUUAUUAUUCGACUAACUAAGUGAUUAUGCUUAUACUAUGAACUACGAAAUUGAUUUCCACUUACUUGGUUUAGUAGCUUCAUGAUUAUUUUAUUCCCAAUGGUGUUAGAAAUAUAAAUUGAAAGAGAUGAAAACAAAAAUACAUUCUAAAUCCGUAACGACACGAUGAUGAUAUAUACAAAAUAAAAUUAUUAACUAGAUCUGUGUAAAUUAAUUACCGCUGGUAAGUUUUCCUCACGUAUUUCAUUUUGUAAUUUUCAAUAACAAAUAAGGAUUGCAGAAGACAAUUUCAAUGGCCAAUCAGAUAAAUGCCUAAGCUUUAUAUCUCAUGGUACAGGUUUUGGCAAACAGUGAGUCUUCUGAUGUGUCUCUCGUAGCUAACAAUGAUCCUUAUUGGUUGGCCCAUACGGGUGAGGGUCAUUCUGUUUCUUUCAGUAUACCUCAAGAUCGUGACAUGAAGGGAAUGGCUUUGUGUAUUCUUUAUUUAUCAAACCCUUAUAAAAUCACGGCAAAUGAAUGUCUUAAAAGUGUCUUAAUUGUUAAUUACACAAAGUGUAGAUUCCAAAUACACAACCAUGGCACAGUAAUUUCCUUUAAAGAUGAAGAUUGGCAUGGCAUAAUGUCAAAUUUAGAAUAUGGAGAUAAGGUCGAGAUUUUUGUGAGUAUCGAUCCUGGAUUCGUGGUCAAGAACACAACUGUCUAUUUGAUCUGUGGUGAAUCAAAUAACAUGGAAAAAGAGCCUCCGCCAAAGAAACAUUCUCUAGUUAGAUUGAUAAAGAAUGUUGUAAGGUGACUUCUGCAAAGUCAUUUAUCUUGUUUGAUAACAUUGUGGUCAUUUUAGUUAUGGAAUUAAUCCUAGUGUCCUUCAUUACUAUUUAUCUUUUCCCAUAUUUUCUAUUUUCCUUUACGGCAUAGCUUAUGGUUAAGAAGUUCGUGUUUAUUUUACCUGUUUCUCUUUGCUGAUUGUGAUUCAUCGGCUUUACCUGAGUUAUGUUUUCUUGCUGUUACUUUUGUUCAUUAUUUUUCCUUUAAGCAAAUAAUAUUUCCUAAAGAAAUUCUUUUAAUUUGAUUAUGAAAUAAAAACAUCUAUUGAUCGAUAUUUUCACAUGUUUUGAGUUAUGAGAGUUGUCCAAACACCUCCCUGGACUAUCCAAGUUUUGCAUGCCCCUCUUCGUGCUAUCCGAGCUUUCCUUGCCCCACUCCUGGCUGUCCGAGCUUUCCUUGCUCAUCUCCAGGCUAUCCAAGCUUUUCUUGCCCAUCUUGACGUACUCAAUUGUUUAAUUAUCUUGUCUACAAUACUCAAUUGUCACAAUAGAGCUUAAUUUAAGUGACAUUUGCAAAUAUUAUGUCAAGUAUACCUGUGACAAAAGUUCACAAUUUAAUUAUUGUUACAUGAGAUUAAUAAUGUAAUAUUUAUAAAUUUUACGAAUAAAUAUUUGUAUCACUAAACUAUUUUGUUGCCCGUGUAAUAAUUAUUUGGAUGUGGGGGAAGUACGACUCUUUGGAAGGUCCAUACAAGGAAGAUAUUAGAUUCAAGUGAGCUUUUUUUUUCUUUUAUUUUAAGUGUUAGUAACUUGUAGAAAUUUGGCUACAAUUUAGUAUUGUAUAUGUAGGUUGUUAGGAUCUCGGCAAGCGUACUGAAUCGUAUCAAGUAAUAAAUCGGUAAGACCGGAUAUCGUAUCCUAAGAUACUCGUGUGACACUAAACAAUCUUAUAAUUACCUAACUGAUUUAGACUAAAUAAUGAUUCCAUUUAAUGUGAUUUCGGUGCAAUAAAAACAAACAUAGUUCACAAUUUGUAAAUUGGACUUUUUGGGGUUAAAACACUUGGAAAUGGAAUGAUUAAAGAUGAUAUGGAAUGGAAUUGUUAGAGAAUGAUUUUACCUACUACACUCUCAUGCAAAUGCACAUUACUUCUUCUUCAUUUGUUUGUCAUGUCAACCUACUAAGUUACUCAAACCCAAUCCCUUGGUAGAAAGAAUCUAGACUUACUCAUUAAACUCCAAUCCCUUGGAAAACCUAAGGAGUUCAUCCACAUUAAGAAAUGAGGUUUAAGACAACUAAAGGUGCAAGUUUUAUCCCUAGAUACAAUUUCCUUUAGGUGUUUAGUCUAAUUCAAGGUUCACACAAUAUUCCCCAACAUUAAGCAAACCAAAGAAUCAUGUUAUGGUUGAUUAAUCCACAACAAGCUUUAAGCAAAGGAAAUAAACACUAACAAUCAAUGAAAGAAGCUUGUAUUCAUUUAAAACAAGUGCAUUUACAAGAGAGUUUCAUAGUUACAUCAUUCCCCAACAAAAUCAACUUAGCUCUCUAUUGUCAUGGAGAGCUUGAGCUUACAAUGGAAGAAAAUGGAAGAGAUGGAGACCCAAGAAAGAUGAAUGGAGAGCUCCCACUGUCCAAAACUAGCUCCUAGAGGUCCAAAAUGGUGUUUUCAUGCUUCAAUUGCCAAGAAGAUGACACCCUCGUUGCGUGGAAUCUUUAAAUAGGUCUAGGGUGUCACAUCAGCAAGUGCGCACUCAGUCCCCCCUUCUGAGGCGCCUAGGCACGAGACUUGCGUGAAGAAUGACACCCAGCCCCCUUCUUGGGGUGCCCAGGUGCGGGAGUUGCGCACCAAAUGAGGCAUAACCCCCUUUUUGGGAUGCGCAAGCAUGAGAGCUGUCUUCGUAAGCCUUCUACUCAAUUGCUUUUGCAGCUUUUCCUGGGUUCCAACUUUUUAUGGUUUUGAUGCUCUUCCAAUGCACACAAUUUGCGUACAAAACUUGAGGGAAUUAGUGAUGAAAACCUCUAAGUGUAACAUAAACUAAACUUAUUCACAAAAUUAGAUAAAAGAGAGAAUUAAGCAAGUUUCAAACUUCAAGAGAGUUGACUUGGUAUAAAAAUGUACCAUAGAUAAUGGUAAGAAUUAAUGUUAUCAUAAGUUAAUGUAAUAUUUCGAUUGAAUAUAUAGUUUUAUGUUCAAAUAAAAGUAUUAAAUAUUAUUGGAUAAUUUAAUGGAUAAAAUGAAUUCCAUUUUGUUUGUUCAAUUAAAUUUUUCUAUUUCCAGACAAAUUAAUUGUAAAUUGAUUAAACGAGAUGAUAAGACAAGGAAAAUAUCAUUAAAAAAAAAAAAGACAACCUCUCUAUGAUGUACAUGACAUUGUUGGUCAUAGUAUGCUAAAUGUAAGCAUCUAUAAAUCUAAAAAAAAAAAACAAGUUUUUUCAUGACGUACAUGACAAUGUAUUUCAUAAUAGGUUAAUUGUGAAUACUACGUAUUAUGACAAGUGAACGAAUACCUGCCAUAAUACAUGGGAGAUGUUUUGAUAAGUAAAAAUAACUAUGUCAUAGAAGUCGAGAUAUUAUGACAGGUAAAUUGAAUUACGUUAUAGUUAAUUGAAUAUAUUAUGACUAAUAACUGAAAAAAUGUCAUAAUAAACGAAAUAUAAGCCUAAACCUAUUAUGAUGUAGUUUUUUAUAAUGUCAUAGAAUGCAUAAACAUUUUAUAACUGCCAGAACUAUGACACCAUAACACUUGUCAUUAUAUGUUCAUUUUACUUGACAUAAUAUGUUUUUUUACACGAGUAAAAGAACAAUAAAGACAAUAAUAAACACAAUUAAAAAAUCUUAAAAAACAUUGUGAAAACCUAAAAUUUAGUAUCAUUUUUGAAUAAGAAAAUAUAUACUUAUGUAAUGCGAAUAGAAAAAUCAUUGUUGAAGUAACAUUAAGGAGGACAUCGUUGAACACAUACAAGUAUUGCAAAAUGGCAUACUAAAGUAAAGUAAUAAAAGAACAUAAAUCAAGUUUAAAGAGUUUGGAAACCCUGAUAUGAAAAAAUGCAAUCUCUAAGGGUGAUAAAAGGUAAACAAGUUUGAAAUCUAAAAUCGAUUCUUAUCAACGUUAGUAUAUAUAUAUAUAUAUAUAUAUAUAUAUAUAUAUAUAUAUAUAUAUAUAUAUAUAUAUAUAUAUAUNNNNNNNNNNNNNNNNNNNNNNNNNNNNNNNNNNNNNNNNNNNNNNNNNNNNNNNNNNNNNNNNNNNNNNNNNNNNNNNNNNNNNNNNNNNNNNNNNNNNNNNNNNNNNNNNNNNNNNNNNNNNNNNNNNNNNNNNNNNNNNNNNNNNNNNNNNNNNNNNNNNNNNNNNNNNNNNNNNNNNNNNNNNNNNNNNNNNNNNNNNNNNNNNNNNNNNNNNNNNNNNNNNNNNNNNNNNNNNNNNNNNNNNNNNNNNNNNNNNNNNNNNNNNNNNNNNNNNNNNNNNNNNNNNNNNNNNNNNNNNNNNNNNNNNNNNNNNNNNNNNNNNNNNNNNNNNNNNNNNNNNNNNNNNNNNNNNNNNNNNNNNNNNNNNNNNNNNNNNNNNNNNNNNNNNNNNNNNNNNNNNNNNNNNNNNNNNNNNNNNNNNNNNNNNNNNNNNNNNNNNNNNNNNNNNNNNNNNNNNNNNNNNNNNNNNNNNNNNNNNNNNNNNNNNNNNNNNNNNNNNNNNNNNNNNNNNNNNNNNNNNNNNNNNNNNNNNNNNNNNNNNNNNNNNNNNNNNNNNNNNNNNNNNNNNNNNNNNNNNNNNNNNNNNNNNNNNNNNNNNNNNNNNNNNNNNNNNNNNNNNNNNNNNNNNNNNNNNNNNNNNNNNNNNNNNNNNNNNNNNNNNNNNNNNUAUAUAUAUAUAUAUAUAUAUAUAUAUAUAUAUAUAUAUAUAUGUAUAUAUAUAUAUGUAUAUGUAUAUAUGUAUAUGUAUAUAUGUAUGUAUGUAUAUAUAUAUAUGUAUAUAUGUAUAUAUAUGUGUAUAUAUGUAUAUAUGUAUAUGUGUCUGUGUGAAAUUCUAGUUUUGAUGGGUAAAUAUGAUACUUGCAAUAGUUUAAUAGGUUCUCUCCUAAAAUAUUAAUUCGGAGUCUUUUAUAUUAGAUGUCUUUUUGCCACAAUAAAUGUAGUAAAAAUGUUUAAAAAAUCUUAAACUGCAAUUUUCUGAGGCGUGUAGAUUCACUAUUCUUAAGAACUUAUCUACAGUGUAUUGCGCAAGUCUCCCAGGAUACAACAGGAAUUUCUCGAAAAUAUUCGAGGAUCACACAACUAGUAAGAAACUCUGAUAGAGUUUAUACCCAGGAUAACUUUUAAAGGAGGAAAAUAAGAAAGAAAAAUGAGAGAAGACUUAUUUGAGAUAUGUUUUGGAAUGGAGAAAGAGUUCUCUAUUUAUAGAGUUAGGGAAGAAUAAAAUCAAUAAAAGACAAUAAAAACAAUACAUAAUUUGACCAUUGCAGCACUUAAAAAUUUGACUUGUUGCUAAUUACUAAAAAUAUUAACUUUGCAAAAGUUUAUGGAUGUUGCACAAUUUUCAAUUGCAAUAAUAAUAUUUUACAACAAUCUCCCACUUAUUGCAAGAGAAAGUUAAGAGAAAAAUAAAAGAAACAUUUAUCCUGGGUCUCAUAGGAUGUAAUGCAUCAGAGAUGGUAUAGCAAGCUAUAUGAACCAGUCUUAGAUUGAGAUAUUUAACACACCGUGUAAAUGAUAUAGCAAGCUAUAUGAACCAAACACACUUGACGUGUGUUAGAGGUUUUUCAAUCACAAUACACCCCCACAAUUCUUGUUGUUAUCGUUGUGUUGCGCUUAUUAGGCCAUGCACGUGGUCGGUAUCCAUGAGUGCUUUAGAGAUCAUGUCAAGAUCUCAUGCAAGCGGCCCCACUCGACACUCAUAUAGGUGAUUUCAUCAAGUGUAUGCUGCAAAUCAUACACCACCCAUAAGAGAUAUGAAAAUCAUUAAAAACUUUGUUUAAACUAAAAUUCUUUCACCACAUAGAAUUUUAAUGACAAAGUUUAACCUCUCAAUAAUGCAGUCUCUAGCACUUUCACACACAUAAUAGGUUUAACCUGUAGCAACCCAAAGCCAAAAAGAAGGGAGAAGAGAGUGGUUAUCUGCGGCUUGAACCAGAGACCGAGAAGAGAAAAAGAACACAAAUCUCCUUGCACGAGAUGAAAGAAACAAAACGAAGGGAAAAAGAAUGGUUUCCCUAUAAGAAGACCAAAAAGGAAAAGAGGAAGGAGAAAUGUUAUAUCAUGUUUCUGACCUGCGACCUCCCUGGAACGGGGGAGAGAAAACUCUCCCUGUGGCGGAACAUAAAACCCAACAAGGUUUGUGCGUUAGGAAGGAGAAAAUCUCAAAUCAAUUUGGCAAACUUUUGAAAUUAGGAUUUUAAAAAAUAACUUAAGGCAAAAUCUGAUUUUGAAUUUUAAUUAGAAUACUCGAAGAGUUAUAAAAAGAUUUUCUACCCACAAUUAUAUCUCUCUCAAGGAAAGUAAAUUUCUUCCAGAUUUAAACACAAAUCUUUCAAUACUUAGAUUUAUGUGUCUUCCAUUUUAUUUAAACCACUAUUAUUGCAAUCUCACACAUUAAUUCCAUGUGGAAAAGGCAGAACUAUUAUUCAAAUGGUCUUAUAAUUAGAGUUUUAUGAAAAAAAAAACAACUACCAAAGCUACCAAAAUUCAAGAAUCCUUCAAACAAGAUACAAGCAUUUAAUCAUCGUUCAAGGCAUUCAAAAUUAAAUUAAUAUCUAUAAAUAUCAACAAUCAACAAAGGUGAAUUUUUCAUACUUCUAAGAAAAUUCGAAAAUACUGCUAAAUUAUAUAAACCCCUUUCUCGCUCCAUAAUUCUUCUUUCUUUCUCCAAAAUUGUAAAGAAACUAAAAAACAACCAGUGGCAUGCACUCACCGUAUCAAACCACUUUAUUAAACCAUUUUUCUUUCUAAAAAUUAAUUAGAAUCAAUUGUCUUUAAUGCUUUUCUUUUCCUGCAUAAUAUUUUAAGCAUAAUUGAUUACCUAGCAUAACAUUAUUAGGUUACGGCUACCAUAUUUACUCAUAGAAAAUGAUAUUUAGACAAUAUUUUUUUGACAACAUUUGAAUAUUGAUUACGUGUCAAUAUGUGAUUGGUCAUGAAUUACUCCAUAAUCAAUAAUAAUAAUCAUAAACACUAUUAUGGAGUAAUUUAAGACCAAUCAUAAAUUGACACAUAAUCAAUAUUCAAAUGUUGUAAAAAAAAAAUGUUGUCUAAAUAUCAUUAUCCUUUACUCAUAUAUCAAAACUAAUUUCCAUUUUAAAAUAUUCAUAUCUCUACAUUAAUUUCAUUGAUUACAUAUAUAAGUAAAAUAUCAUUAUCAUUCAAACAAAACACAAACAUUUACUAGAACACUCAAAAUUAAAAUAUCAAAUAAUAAAUAAACUUUUAAGAAUAUUCACAGUAGGUACACUUCACAUAUCUUUGACAGACUGAAAUUUAAGUCCUUAAGAUUGUAGUAAAAAUGCUUACAAAAUUUCAAGCUGCAAUUUCUUGAAACGUAUAGAUCCACUGUCCUUAAGAACUUAUCUGUGAUGUAUUGCGCAAGUUUCCCAAUAUAUAACAGGAACUUCUCGAAAAUAUUCGAGAAUCACAAAACUAGCAAGAAACUCUGAUAGAGUUUAUAGCCAGGAUAAUUUUUAGAGUAAUUCAAACAGAGGAUAGAAGUAUUCUAUUUAAAAGGCUUUCUUUUCCUUAUCUUUUUUAGAUAUCAUUUGCAUCUUCAUUCUCAAAUAAUUUUCCAAAUUUCAUAAAACAUUUUCUCUGGUCAUAUAAGUCAAAAUUAGAACCUUAAAUAAAAAUAAAUAAAUAGAUGAAAAAAUAAGAAAUAUGUAAAAGUGAAACGAUAAGUGUAUUAAAUUUAUGGCUUAGAUGGCCUCGAAAUUGAAUAAAUACCAAUAAACUGAAGAGAUAAUAAUAAAAUUAAUUGCGUUAAACAAUAUUAGACUGAUAACCACAAAAUCAAAUCUUAAUAAGCUAUUACGACAUAUAGAUCAUACUAACCUAACCUAAGUUAGAUCCAUUAAGAUAAAAAAUCCAUUAACAACUUACAAAAUAGAUUGACAUUUCUCAAAUAUAAAAUUAAUUAAUUGCACAUUUAUUAUUUUCACAAGCACACCGCGUGGUGUGGAAUUUUCUUCUUGUAGGGACACUCAUUAAGAUAUUUCAGCUAAAGAGUAAUGCUUGAAAGAAUAUUUAUAUGACCAAUUCAACAUGUCUAAAAACAGCAUUUUCAGAAGUACAGGGACGAAAACAUAAGAAUAGAAGUUCAGGAUCCAAAAUCAAUAUAACUUCUCACGUCUUUUAUGAGUUUAGACAUAAAAGACUCGUUUCUCAGUUUCAAAGUCAAGAGUGGAAAAAUAGGAGAUUGUAUAAACCAAAAAGAAAGUAACCUCAGAGAAAAAUGCUUCAUUUUAUUAUUCUUUUUUUAGCAAAAUUUAUGAAGACUCUUCAAUGGUGAUAUUUCAAUUCUUGGUCAGAUUUAUUCAAAAAAGCUAGAAAAUAAGAUGGGAAAAGAAAAUUUAAAGUCAAGAUAAUAACCAGUACUACACGUUAAAGUCAACAGAAUGACCGAUUCGACACGCUAGAGAAUGACCAACACUCUUUGAAGUUAUUAAACCACAACCAUUCAGUUAUAUAUGGUUCAUAAAUUAGUUCUAACCCAUUCCUUCUGAAAAAGUUUCUUUUUAGAAAAUCCCCUUAAGUGGAUUCAAAAAAAAAUAUCUCCCAAAACCUCCUCUCAAGUGGAAGUGGAAGGACCAAGGUUGAGAUAAGUUUGAUCCACAAAAAAUAAUAUUAUUUAUAUAUACAUAUAAAAUUAUAUAUUUUAGUAUGUAGUUUAAUAUGUUGUAAUUUUAUUAUAUUUAAAUCAGUAUUUUUAUGUCAUACUUAUCAUCAUGCUAUUAAAUGAAAUAUAUAAUAAUACUUUAUACUUUUUGAUCUUGUGAGUUUUUAUAUAUUAAAUGAAAUAUAUAGUUACAUUUUUAUAUCAUACUCAAUUAUAACAAUAUUUUUAUAUCAUACUCAUGUAUAACCAAUUUCAUAAAUUAAAUAACACUUCAUGUAUAUUUCUCAAACCACCAUGUGAAAUAUUUAUUGAUUUUAUUAAUACCUAACUUUUGAAAAAAAAAAAAAAACUCAAGUUAUCACUUCUAACAUAUUUUCUAGUAAAAUGUAGUCUUUGUAAAAAAUAAAAUUUUCAUGUUAAAUAAAUAAAAUGACUUUUGUAUGUCUUAAUUAGGUUUUAAUUUCUUUAAAAUAAAUAAACAUUUCAACUAAUAAUUCUUUUUGAGUAGGAAAAAAUACAAACUUAUCUAACAACGAAAACCUUAAACAAAUCCGCACCACACAACUGCACCACCGGAAGACCCUCAACCGCUUAUUCUAACGCUAGGAUACACACAAUAAGCCACCUUGAAGGGAUAAAAUAAGCACAUCAUCUACAAAUGAAACUUCCCACAUUACCUUCUGCCAUCAGAAAAAAAAUAACUCCAUUUAAAAUGUUUUCCACAUAUUGGUGUGUAACAGCGGCUGCUACAAAACAAGGUGUCCACUCAUAUUUACUAUAUUGGCUAUUAGCUUGACUUGUAGAGCAAGAGCUGCUUUUCCUAUUCCACCUUAUUUACUAACCUCUCUAUAAAUAAAUCUAUGAAAGAAUAAAGUACCAUCAUUAUAGAAUCUCCAUAAAUUGCUCACAAAAAGAUGAAGCCAUCUUCUCUUUGGUUACUUGCUUUUUGGUUUAUAUAUGUUCCCCUGUUUUUCAACUUUACAUGCAACUCCAAACACAAUGUUUUUGCUCUAGAAAAUGAGAUCGAUCAUAUGGCAUUAAUCAAAUUCAAAGAAUCAAUAUCGAGUGAUCCAAAUCGGAUCUUGCUUUCCUGGAAUACUUCUACUCACUUUUGUAAUUGGUAUGGAAUCACAUGCCAUCCCACACUUCCAAGGGUUACUGAGCUGAACUUGCAAGGGCACAAGUUGAAAGGGUACAUAUCUCCUCAAAUAGGUAAUCUCUCUUACAUCAGAAAAUUUGUACUUGGAAACAACAGUUUCUAUGGCAAUUUACCACUCGAAGUGGGAAGAUUGUCCCAACUACAGAAAUUCAAUGUUGAAAAUAACACAUUGGGAGGAGAAAUUCCUUUAAAUUUGACGCAUUGUACUCAACUCAAAAUUUUAAAUUUGUAUGGAAACAAUCUGAAAGGAAAAAUACCUAUUACAAUCGGAUUGCUCCGGAACAUUCAGUUUUUGNACUUUGGUCAAAAUCAGUUAACAGGAGAAAUUCCAUCUUCCAUUGGGAAUCUUUCUUCAAUAACAUAUCUAUCACUUACUUUUAACAAUUUAGAGGGAGAUAUUCCACCAGAAAUAUGUCAUCUCAAAAGCUUAACUAUUCUAGCUUUAGGUAUCAACAAACUGAGUGGAUCAAUUCCUUCCUGUCUUUAUAAUAUGUCAUCUCUUACUGGAAUCUCAGUCACUGAAAAUCAACUUAGUGGCUCUCUUCCACCCAACAUGUUCCACACCCUCCACAAUCUUCAGGGACUUACACUUUCUAACAAUCAAUUCUCAGGUCCAAUCCCACCUUCCAUUGCAAAUGCAUCCAGUCUUUCACUCCUUGAUCUCUCUAAGAACCAUUUUGUGGGAAGAAUUCCAGGUCUUGGAAAACUACAUGAACUUUAUUUCCUAAGCUUGGGUCAAAACAAUUUAGGUUACAAUUCAACUAAUGAUUUGGAGUUUUUAAAAUCAUUGGUAAAUUGUACUAAGUUGGAAAUAUUAGCUCUAUCUUACAAUAGUUUGGGAGGUCAAUUAUCAAAUUCUUUGGGAAAUUUGUCGACUCAACUAAGUCAACUAUAUCUCGGAUACAACGAGAUAUCUGGAGAAAUCCCUGAGGCAAUAGGAAAUUUAAUUGGCUUAACUCUCUUGACAAUCUACAAGAACCACUUUGAUGGUAUUAUCCCAACAACUUUUGGAAAGUUUAAAAUGCUUCGAGUGUUAGGAUUAGGGGGAAACAAGUUGUCAGGAAAUAUAGAACCCUUCAUUGGAAACUUGAGUCAAUUGUUUUAUUUGAAUCUACGAGAAAAUCGAUUUGAAGGGAGUAUUCCUCCAAGUAUAGGCAAUUGUCAACUGCUACAACAUUUUGAUCUUUCAGAGAACCAUCUAUCAGGAACCAUACCACUAGAGCUUUUUAAUCUUACCUCUCUAUUUGACAAUUUGGAUUUGUCAUAUAAUUCCUUGAGUGGUAGUAUACCAGAUGAAGUGGGAAAUAUAAACAACAUUGACUUUCUAGAUAUGUCAAACAAUAAUAUAUCUGGUCACAUUCCUCUUGGUGUUGGAAAAUGCAUAAUGUUAGAGUACCUCUAUUUGCAAGGGAAUUCUUUACAAGGAAUCAUACCAUCUUCUUUGGCAUCACUUAAAAGCAUUAUAUUUUUGGACCUGUCACAAAACCAUUUGUCNGGAUCAAUUCCAAAUUUCCUGCAAAACCUUUCUUUCNUACAAUAUUUGAAUGUAUCUUUUAAUAUNUUGGAAGGUGAGGUACCCACUGAAGGUGUCUUUCGGAAUGUAAGUGCAUUGGGGGUGAUUGGAAACAGUAAGCUUUGUGGAGGUAUUUCUGAAUUGCAUCUGCCACCAUGCCCUGUUAAAAUUAAGAAACAUGCAAAACACCACAAGUUCAGAUUGAUAGUGGUGACAUUAAGUGUAGUUGUUUCUCUCAUUGUACUAUUAUCUGCCUUAACUAUCUAUUGGUCGAGGAAAAAGGGAAAGAAACCUUCCCUUAAUUCAUCAACAAUUCACCAAUUGGCUAAAGUUUCCUACCAAAGCUUGUACAAUGGAACUGAUGGGUUCUCAACUACAAACUUGAUAGGGAGUGGGAAUUUCAGUUCUGUCUACAAAGGAACUCUUGAGCUCNAAGACAGAGUUGUNGCNGUAAAGGUUCUAAACCUGCAAAGAAAAGGAGCUCACAAGAGCUUCGUGGCAGAAUGUAAUGCACUAAAAAAUAUUAAGCAUCGAAAUCUUGUUCAGAUUUUGACAUGUUGUUCCAGCACAGAUUAUAAAGGUCAAGAAUUCAAAGCUUUGAUCUUUGAGUACAUGAGAAAUGGAAGCCUGGAGCAAUGGUUGCAUCCUACCACAACAAGUGUUGAGCACCCAAGAACAUUGAGCCUUAAACAAAGAUUAAGUAUAAUGAUUGACGUAGCUUCUGCAUUACAAUAUCUUCAUCAUGAAUGUGAGCAGUCGAUCAUUCAUUGUGAUUUAAAGCCAAGCAAUGUCCUUCUUGAUGAUGAAAUGAUUGCUCAUGUAAGUGAUUUUGGCAUAGCAAGACUUCUCUCAACAAUCCAAGGUAUUACCUCCAAACAAUCAAGUACACUUGCAAUAAAGGGGACUGUUGGCUAUGCUCCUCCAGGUAUUUUCUUCUGUUUUUCAAUCGUUAAGUUGCUUUGAAUUCUCAGAAUUUUGUGCUGUGAAUGUUAUAUCUUAGUAUUGUGUAUUGAUAGUUUUGUAUAAUGAUAGAGUAUGGAAUGGGUGCUGAAGUGUCAACUUCUGGCGACAUGUACAGCUUUGGAAUUCUUUUGCUGGAAAUGCUUACUGGGAGAAGACCUACAGAUGAAAUGUUUGAAGAUGGUCAAAAUAUUUGUAACUUUGUUGCAAUUUCAUUUCCCAGUAAACUUUUUCAAAUUUUGGAUCAGCGACUUAUUCCAAUUGAGGAAAAUGAUUGGAAUCUUAAUCCAAAUGUUGAAAAGUGCUUAGUUUCACUUUUUAAAAUUGGUCUUGCCUGUGCUGUGGAAUCACCAAAAGACAGAAUGGAUGUGGUUGAUGUCAGCAGGGAGCUUCAUCGAAUUCAAAAUGCCUUUUUUGGUGAGUUAUUUUUUUUUUUUUGAUUGCUUUAAUAAUUAUUGCACAAUUACAUCAAGUUUUCCUUUUUAAAAAUCAUAAAUUAGUAAAAUUGAGGAUUUAUAUGUCUUAUGUGUAUUUGGAUUUUUAUUAAAAAUACAAAAUGGAUGUUUACAUCAAUGUGUUCUAACCCAAAAUUGAACUUCUUAGGUCGAGGCUCUGUUUUGGGAAAUGAUCCUUCAAUCUUCUUAUUGAGUCAAGGUAUUGGUAAUUUUGAAGGUUGAGCAUAUCAUCAAAUGAAUAUCAGUUGCUAAUCAUGUUUUAGUACCGAAAUCACUUGGAAAAUGUGGGUUUAAAUCAAGUAAGUUUCCUUGUUAUCGGUAUAUACGUUUUUGUAGUCUUAAAUUUUAGUUUGUUAUAGGUUACUUUUUUAUUAUAUAAUGUAUAUCAUGUUGUUUUGUUAACUAAUAUUGUCCCUGAUUGAUAAUCCUUUUUUUUCCACCGGAUGUUGAAAAUCAUUAAAAAAAACACAGGAGAUUCACUACAAUAGUUUAUUAAGAAUAAUUUUAGUAAAACUUGUAAAACAAACAAUGAUCUUCAAAACUAAAUUUGGUUCAGAAGUUAAUUAAGUGUAGAAAAAAUAUUAAUUAAUACCUACCAUGUUUGUCACGGUUACCUUUAAUUGAAUGUUUAAAGUGAAAAUGAUAGAAUUUCUUUAAUAAUUAUACUAGUUUUAAACAUGCGUUUACUACGGGUUGAUGUUGGUUCGUGUGUUUAUUAAAAAUAAUUAGAAAUCGAGGAAAAAACAAUAAAUAUUUUUAAGUUUGUAAUUAAGUUUUGAAUAUGGAAUUAACCAUAAAAAUAAUUUAUAGGUUUAAAAGUCCAAUAAGUGUAGAAAAAUAUAAAUAGUAGCAUGUGCAAAGUAAAAAUGAUAUGCAAAAAUAUUUAGAGUUGACUCAUUAACAAUAUAAAUUAGUAUACCAUAUACUAAUGUAAGUUGUUAAACUUAUUUAAUUAAUAUAUUAACAAACUCAUUUAAUAUGUGUUAUUAGAUUGAUUUAAUUAGUAUAUGGAAGUUGAAAGGGGAGCAUGAUUAGUAAUAGGUUUUUGAUGAUAUUCCAAAAAGUGGAAGAAGAUAAAAAUACUUGACCUUAACUUAUUAUUGAAUCUGGUUAAAAUGCAUGUCAGGAGAUGCUUGCUGUCCAUUUUAAUUGAUUAUAUUAAAAUCAAAAUCGAUUAAAAAUAUGAGUAUCAUAUUUUUGUAUAUAAAUGGGUCUUGUCUUUAUUCUAUAAUAUGGGGAUGCAAUUCAGAACUUUAAUUUGUGAAGCAAGAAUGACUAGAAAACAUUUUUGACAAAGGACCUUCAUAAGUGAAAAUCAAAGAAAAGAAGCCUUCAAGUGUGUUUGGAUGUAGAUGAAUGGUGAAUUAGUCUGGUUUUUGGUUUGAAAUCUACACUUGAGGUGUUUUCUUUUCUUUGCAUUUGUUGUAAACUUGAUCAUUAUUGUAUAUAAUUUUUUUGAAGGCAAGGGUUAAGGGCAAUUGUGUGAAACAUCACCUUAAAGGAUGAUUCUUGAUUGCUAGAGGUUAAGGUUGCAUAGGCAAACUUGUAAUUUUGUAAUUUCUACAUCUUUAUAGUGUAUUUCCUUUCAAACUCAAGUUGUUUGGAAGAAGACUAAAUGCAACCUCAUUUAAGUCAAACCAAUAUAAAAUCUUGUGUGUAUCAUGCAUUUCUUUCUUUACAUGUUUUUACAUAUUGUAUUGAUUAAGAAAGUUCACUCAAAAGAGUAACAUACAUUGCAUUUUUUUUAAGAAGGUAGGUGUAAAAUUUUAAUCCAAUUCAACCCCUUCUUAGUUGAGAUCUAUUAGUUUUAACACUUUUAACAAUUGGAAUAAGAACUGAUUAAUAGGAUAUUAAUCAAUUAAAAAAAUCAUGUUAUGACCAAUAUAUCUCAAACAUUUGUUGAAGGGACAUCUAUAAAUAGAUCACCUUCCAUUUUGAAAAAUUAGAACGAAAAUUUGUCUAGAAUCAAUAGACAAAGGUGUAUGGGAUGUAAUAAAUGGACCUUCUCAACUCACAAAGAUUGAAAAAGGUAUGAUUGUACCCAAAAAAUUAUCUUAAUGGAAUCUUAAUGAAAACAAGAGAGCACACUUUGAUGUGAGAGCAAAAAAUAUUAUAUCUUUUACAUGAACCAUCGAUGAAUUCUAUAUAAUUUUUGUUUGUGAAUCAACUAAAGAAAUGUGGGACGUCUUGGAAGUGAGACAUGAAGGCACAAAUUUAAAUGAAUUUAAGAGAUCAAGAAAGAAUAGUCUUAUUCAAGAAUAUGAGAUUUUUAGAAUGGAGAAUGGAGAAAACAUCUAUGAUGUCCGGAAAAGAUUUAUCCACAUAGUAAAUCAUUUGUUGGCUCUUGAAAAGAUCUUUGAUGAGAAAAAACUAAAUAAAAAAAUCUUGAACAGUUCAAACAGAAAAUGGCAACCUAAAGUCACAGUCAUAUCUGAAUCUAGAUAUCUUACCACAAUGAACAUGGCUAAGUGAUUAAUGCAUAUUUAUGUCCUCAUUUAACCUUGAAUAUUGGAUUUUUAAUUGGUUUUUGUACUUUAAAAGAAUAUUUUAAUUAAGAUUUGUUAUAAUUAGGUUUAUUGAACAUCAGAUACAUAAACAUGAUAAAAAUAACAUUUUAGUUGCAUAAAUGUGUUAGUGAAACAACAUCUAAGUUAAGUUUAUUGAGGUGUGAAAAUAAAUUGGUUAAAAAUUGAUGACCCUUAAAGAUAAAUCUAAGAAUAGCAAAUAAUUGGCUUGAGAUUAGUGAAACCUUAAUCACCGUCCAAUCUCGUCACUAUCUUUAAUUAUCCUUUACCUUGAUUUUAGUGGAAUAACAUGUUUUCUUACUAAGGUCGGAUGUCCGUAUUGAUGGUCGUUUGCUCCUGCUCAAUCGUUCUGCCACGCUCAGUCGCUGCUUGACUGUUUCCUUUUCUCAUAGACUGUCCGACUUGCUCGGUGUGGAAUAAGUGUAUGACCCUUAGGCCAUACGGUAAUAUAUAUAUAUAUAUAUAUAUAUAUAUAUAUAUAUAUAUAUAUAUAUAUAUAUAUAUAUAUAUAUAUAUAUAUAUAUAUAUAUAUAUAUAUAUAUAUUAAAUGUGAAUUUUAUGAAAAAUGUAUAUGAUAAUAAUAUAUUCUUUGAGUCGGAAUUUUCUCUUAAACUUGUAGUAUUGUUUAUUUAGUGAGCUUUUAAAAUAAUUAAAUUGUAAUAUAUUAAAAAAUUAUUGAUAUAUUUCAAAAUAUUAAAAUGGUUUAAACCCUUUAAUUGUCCCUAUUUUUGGAGCGUUUUCCCAAUUUCAUCCCCUUCUUAUUAAAACUCCCAAUUGGGUCCUCAUAAGAGUUAAUUUCAAUCAAUUUAGCCCUUUCCGUUAAAAAAAAGUUAACACCGUGAAGUUUUGUACAGUGAGAUGGAUGAGGUGUUCAUUUAUGUAACGUGGCAUUUGUAGUGUUGAAACCUUGAUGAAACGUGGCAUUUAGAAAAAUUUAAUAAUUUAAAAUAAAUUUUUUCAAACCAGAAACCAAUUAGGUUUCUGCCUCUUCCACUUGAGCAAAGAGCACAGGAAAAGGGACCCUAGAGAGGCACCAACUUCCUCUCCAUGCAUACACAAAGUCGCCACUGAAACAACCUCUGCACACCGCGAGCCUAGGUGUCGCUAGUCACCGAUCGUCGCCACGGUCUCCGCCGGUGACCGCGCCAAUUUCUCCUUCCUUGUCUCUUCUCCGAACAACAGUUUCGACUGGCGCCGCCACACCUCAGUUUGGUCAGUCAAGGGUCAUUGUUGGUGGUGCUGCCUGCGUCGAAGCGUCACUGCCGCUUGUGGCGGACCAACCUUUGGCUUUGCUUCCUCGCUCCCCUCUGAAACUGAACCAAGUAAAGGUUGCACAGAGACAUUUUGUUCUUGUGGUUGGGUGUGAUGGUGAAUGUGUAUUAUUGCACAGAGACAGUUUAUAAAGGUUUCUGAAAAAGGAUUUAGGAUUUAAUAAAACUGAAUUUGGGAUUCAAUUUGGGAUUAAAGGUCUGCGAAGAUGAUGGCUCCGUCUCGGUGGUUGGAAGAUGAGCGAAAAUCGCAAUUUAGGGAUUUUGGUGUGUAGAGAUUUGGGGCUUUCUGUGUUUCAGAUUUUGCAAGUUGCAAGAAAGUGUUUCGUGAUAAAGGAGAUGAAGCAAGGAGCUUCGUUUCGCGGUGAUGCUCAUGGUGACACUGUGAUUUUGGAGUUUUUACACUACAAGUUUCGAGAUUUGACGGCCAUGGUUCUAACGAAACUCACGAUGGCUUUUCCUUCCGGUGGCGAGGUGGUGAAGGAGACGAGCAUCGCUAGCACUACGAAGGAGGUGAUGGAGCAGUAUGCCGCCACUAUUCACGUUUUUAACCACUUUUACAAAAAUGACAUGUCAUCUUCCCUCUUGUACAAAAAGUUAACUCCGUUAACUAGAUUUAACGGAAAGGACUAAAUUGAUUGAAAUUAGCUCUUAUGAAGACUUAAUUGGGAGUUUUAAUAAAAAUGAGAUGAAAUUGAGAAAACGCUCCAAAAAUAGGAACGAUUAAAGGGUUUAAACCUAUUAAAAUAAAAAGAUUUUGAAAAUCCAAUAAAAUGUAAGCAUAAUAAAAACGGAGUAAAAUCACUUCACAUCAUUUAAAGGAUCAUCAAUGAUUUUCCUUUUCUUAUCUUUUCUUUUCUUUUACAAAAUUGGUACCCAUCAAAUCAUGGGCAAAGAUGGAUCUUUCUGUAUUACGUAGAGGUGUGAAAACUGGUCGACAGUAAUAUGCCGAACAAAGCACAUGUUAAUUCCAUGGUUAUUGUUUCCUGCACUCCCAGAAUUAUUAACUGCACCCUCAUAACAUUAGGGAAAGACUUAACCAUCUUCUAUUAAUGUCCUACAUUAUAGUCAUUGUUACAGUCACAAUGCUGCAGAGGAAGAAGAAGGAAGAAAACACUACAAAACAAAAAAAAAAAAAAAAAAAAAAAAAAAAAUGAAAAAGAAAG